GAUGAACGCUGGCGGCAUGCCUAACACAUGCAAGUCGAUCGGUAAGGCUCUUCGGAGUACACGAGAGGCGGACGGCUGAGUAACGCGUAGGAACACACCCUGCAGUGAGGGAUAAGACACCGAAAGGUGUUCUAAUACCGCAUACGGUCUUCGGAUUAAAGCAUUUAUGCGCUGAAGGAGUGGCCUGCGUCAUAUUAGAUAGUUGGUGAGGUAAUGGCUCGCCAAGUCGAUGAUGUGUAGCUGGUCUGAGAGGAUGAUCAGCCAGACUGGAACUGAGACACGGUCCAGACUCCUACGGGAGGCAGCAGUGAGGAAUAUUUCACAAUGAGCGAAAGCUUGAUGGAGCAAUGCCGCGUGCAGGAUGAAGGCCCUCGGGUUGUAAACUGCUUUUAUAAGAGAAGAUUAUGACGGUAACUUAUGAAUAAAGGACGGCUAACUACGUG
Molecule: ribosomal RNA, 443 nt
Filed under: uncultured bacterium
Lineage: Bacteria
Description: partial 16S ribosomal RNA
Rfam family: Bacterial small subunit ribosomal RNA
Source: RNAcentral